UGUCACAACAGACCCAAUUGUCUUUUGUUGCAGCAGGGGCUGUUGCUGCAGGACCAACAUCAGAUAUAGGCCAAUUUCCAGAGUAGGGAGCAACUCUCAAGGCUGUUUUAUGAUGCACUUCAGAUGUUGACAGCUUAUCAAUUUUGUUACCAUUUGGUCUCUCCUUUAAUGCAUUAUUAGAGAAGCGCAUGCCUUUUUCACCCAUGUUAGAGUCCUUCUGCCUGUCUUCAUAACGCAUUUCCAACGGACUAAUCUGUUUUUCUUCUUGACCUAGUUCAAUAUCCCCAAAAAAAU
This 294-nucleotide unclassified non-coding RNA is filed under the name Hevea brasiliensis (rubber tree). The record is from RNAcentral. Lineage: Eukaryota; Viridiplantae; Streptophyta; Magnoliopsida; Malpighiales; Euphorbiaceae.